RNAcentral lists this ribosomal RNA (575 nucleotides) under uncultured delta proteobacterium. Its description in RNAcentral is "bacterial SSU rRNA". It matches the Rfam family "Bacterial small subunit ribosomal RNA", at positions 9 to 546 of the family's 1533-position model. The record is from RNAcentral. Lineage: Bacteria; Deltaproteobacteria.
AGAGUUUGAUCCUGGCUCAGAAUGAACGCUGGCGGCGUGCUUAACACAUGCAAGUCGAACGAGAAAGGGAUUGCUUGCAGUCCCGAGUAGAGUGGCGCACGGGUGAGUAACACGUAGAUAAUCUGCCUUCAAGCCUGGGAUAACUAUUCGAAAGGGUAGCUAAUACCGGAUAAAGUCGAUCUACACAAGUAGAUUGAUGAAAGAUUGCCUCUUCUUGAAAGCAAUUGUUUGGAGAUGAGUUUGCGUACCAUUAGCUUGUUGGUGGGGUAAAGGCCUACCAAGGCAACGAUGGUUAGCUGGUCUGAGAGGAUGAUCAGCCACACUGGAACUGGAACACGGUCCAGACUCCUACGGGAGGCAGCAGUGAGGAAUUUUGCGCAAUGGGGGCAACCCUGACGCAGCAACGCCGCGUGAGUGAAGAAGGCCUUUGGGUCGUAAAGCUCUGUCAAUGGGGAAGAAGUUGUGUGGUUCGAAUAGGGCCAUGCAUUGACGGUACCCAUGAAGGAAGCACCGGCUAACUCCGUGCCAGCAGCCGCGGUAAUAAGGGCGAAUUCGCGGCCGCUAAAUUCAAUUCG